GACGAACGCUGGCGGCGUGCUUAACACAUGCAAGUCGAACGAUGAAGCCGGAGCUUGCUCUGGUGAAUUAGUGGCGAACAGGUGAGUAACACGUGAGUAACCUGCCCUUGACUCUGGGAUAACUGCGGGAAACUGUAGCUAAUACCGGAUACGACCCUCGGAGGCAUCUCCUGGGGGUGGAAAGAAUUUCGGUCAAGGAUGGACUCGCGGCCUAUCAGCUAGUUGGUGAGGUAAAGGCUCACCAAGGCGACGACGGGUAGCCGGCCUGAGAGGGUGACCGGCCACACUGGGACUGAGACACGGCCCAGACCCCUACGUGAGGCAGCAGUGGGGAAUAUCGCACAAUGGGCGCAAGCCUGAUGCAGCAACGCCGCGUGAGGGAUGACGGCCUUCGGGUUGUAAACCUCUUUUAGCAGGGAAGAAGCGAAAGUGACGGUACCUGCAGAAAAAGCACCGGCUAACUACGUGCCAGCAGCCGCCGUAA
This 484-nucleotide ribosomal RNA is filed under the name uncultured bacterium. Its description in RNAcentral is "partial 16S ribosomal RNA". It matches the Rfam family "Bacterial small subunit ribosomal RNA", at positions 28 to 523 of the family's 1533-position model. The record is from RNAcentral.